GAGACCCACGCCAACAGUUGCCAGCUCGUCCUCCGGGAUGGAGGGGACACUGUUGGGACCGCCUCUGCUAAAGAGGAGGAAGGAAUGGGCAACGGUAGGUCAGUAUGCCCCGAAUGUCCCGGGCUACACGCGGGCUACAAUGGUUGGUACAAUGGGUAUCUACCCCGAAAGGGGAUGGAAAUCUCCUAAAGCCAAUCUUAGUUCGGAUUGAGGGCUGCAACUCGCCCUCAUGAAGCUGGAAUCCGUAGUAAUCGCGUUUCAACAGAACGCGGUGAAUAC
This 279-nucleotide ribosomal RNA is filed under the name uncultured methanogenic archaeon. Its description in RNAcentral is "partial 16S ribosomal RNA". It matches the Rfam family "Archaeal small subunit ribosomal RNA", at positions 1047 to 1325 of the family's 1478-position model. The record is from RNAcentral. Lineage: Archaea; Methanobacteriati; Methanobacteriota.